UCUCCCUUUACAGCAUACAUUUCCAGCUGGUUGCAAGGACUUCUGUGGCAAGUUUGUUUUAUUACUUCCGUGCUCUAUGUCUUUGUUGAACUAUCCAAAAUUUGGUUUUGGGCUGUUUAGAAUUUAUUGUUCACAAAUCUGUCUUGUGCAAGUUUCUCUCUGUUUAUGUUUUAGGUUGAAGAUGGCCCAGAGAGGUUAGCCUUACAGUUGCUGAUCUAGAAGCAUUAGGCAAGAGUGUCUGAGAACGAUGGUGUGAUCUGCAACACUGUCUUUUUUUAUUACUGAUUUAUUACUGACUAUCUAUUUCUUUAUUUGUUGUUAUUCAACAAGAGAGAACUCCCAUUAAUGGGAAUCAAAAGGAAACCCUGAAAUCAUUUUUUGAGGAUGGAAUGACACAAGUUUGUUCAGAAUUAAUACCAAGAGCUGCAUCAACUACUGGUUUGGACACCAGUGUCGUAGAAAUAAGGUUUACUUUUGUGCCACACUAACAAACAUCAUGUCAAAUAAAUAAAUCAUUCUGCUGCACUGCUUGUAUAAACGAAGUGUUUUUUAACAUUCGGUUUAAUUGGUGUAAUACCCUUUUGCUAUUUUUUUGUUUUUCAGAACUGGAUUGAUGAUCACAAAUGACUAAUGCUUCGUCUGAGCCCCGUCCAUCAAAAGCCAAAGUUCACAUUAGAGAGCUGUCGCAUUACAAUCUUUUUUGUAGGGACAUAUUCAAAAACAAAGGCACAAUGAAUGAUAUUAAGGGCAGGUGCGCCACAUUGGGGGAAGAUGCAAAGCAGAAAUACAUUCAAGAGGCAGCAGCACUGAGGGCACAUGGGCAGGCACAGGACCUAAACCCUGAGAUGGAGGCAAUUUGUGCUGUGUCUGCCGCGUCCAUUUUGAUGAUAAGAAAUAUAGGACUUAUGUGGGGACCAAUAAAGUUAUAUUGUACUGAA
Carassius gibelio (silver crucian carp) is the source of this 938-nucleotide long non-coding RNA. RefSeq lists it as uncharacterized. The transcript has 3 exons. Lineage: Eukaryota; Metazoa; Chordata; Actinopteri; Cypriniformes; Cyprinidae. The record is from RefSeq and is a predicted model, not a curated record.